ACAGCCUCGGGCCCCACCCACGAUGCACACACGCCCAACCCACGCACACACACACCCACGUUGGAUCCCAUCUCUCUCGUCUUCCUCGAUCCCCUCUCUCCAUCCCACGCCGCCGCCAGAUUUCGGCGAUCCCCGCCGUUCCCCACCGCCCAGCUCUCCUCCCCGAUGUCACCUCUCCCUGCUCACCAUCUCCACCAACCGGUUUCUCUCCUCGCCCAGGAGAGUCCCGCCUCCUCGCCACCAAGGCCGCCGCCGCCCGCCGCCUCGAGCGGCGCCGCCUCCUCCUCGAGCGCCGCGCCGCAGACCUCGCCUCCCGCGCCCUCGCCGCCCGCGCUAACAUCGACGCCACCCACGCGCGCUGCCUUGCCGUUGCCCGCGACAUCAGCUCGACCAACGGCGAGAUCAAGGACGCGUAGCAGAAGGCGGAGGAGUGGGACCGCUUCUACGAGUCCAAGAGGAAGGAGAUGGAGGAGUUCCAGCCGUCGUCUCCACAGCCUCCAUCCACCCCGGCCGCAGCCACUUCUCAACCCCACGAGCAGCCUCCUGGCCUAGUUCCUCAUCACCGUCCUCCUCCCGGUCCCUGUCCACCUCCGCCUCCACCUGGUGGUCCCAGAGGCGAUGAUUCCCCGUCGCCUCGGCCGCCGUAGAGCUCUGCGAGGCUGCCGCGGUGGUGGAGACUCCGUCCGCGUCAUCGAGACGCCGUAGCCCAAAUCAAGUGUUAAGUUCAGCGUGGAGGUGCCUCCCUUGAUAUGCCAGGAGUGCUACCAAACAACUCUUCUCGAGUACUCAAAGUGUUUCGAGGUACCAUUUCUAUGCUAAAACCUGUAUCAAAUGAAGAACAUUGGAAUUCGUGAGGACAAACAUUAUGCAAAGAGUUACAAAGCACAACCAGGAAUGUGGGUUUAUGCCAAAGCUUAACGACUACACGUUCAGUAAUCAUGAACUGCAGAUACAGAGUUCCCAGCAAUGUCGCAGCGGGAGCUCGUCAAGAAGUGCAGAGGCUCAAGGCCUCUGUGUCUCAACUGCAGGCAGCCCUGCAGGAGCUGCAGAGUAGCGGGUUGCACUCGGAAGACGCCGGGAUCGGGGCUGCGGAAGCCAGGAAGGCCGACCUCAUGGCUAAGAAGGCCAAGCUGGAUGAGACCCUAGCUGCAGCCCGCUAGUUCAGAGCACUGCUUCGGCAGUAGCUCCAGAAAGCCUUUGCGUCACAGGUUAGGGAUCAAAAGGCAGCACAAAACUGACUAGUUAUGUGGUACAAGCAAAUCGACUUUCAUUAGCUAGCUCAUUAAUCGCUUUGGAUUAAGGAUGCAAUGCAAGUGUGGCGGGCUAGUGGACAGUAACAUAGUAGUACAAAUGUAGUGUUACUUUUAGGCAAAUGUUGAGCAAAUUUUGAACUAAUGGAUGAGUUUCGUGGGACGAAGCGGGCUGCCACUUGCACUCCUCCUACUGAUGAAAUGAACUUCAAAUGACUCUACAUGCAGAUACAUGCUUUUUAUUUCAGUCUUGUUUAGAGGAGGCCCCGACGGCGUCGAGCUGCUGUUGCUGCGGGCACAGCGACGUCGGCGUGGUCGGGAUGGUCGCAGCCCUUCAAGAUUCUCAAUGGCGGCGUCUCGGCGUUGAUGGCAGAGUCGACGACGAGCAUCGGCGAGUAUAGGUUCAGAUCAUCCAUGAAUUGGUAGUUAUUGGUCAUAUUUAGUUGCAUUUUGGUCAGUCCGGUUGUGGCUAUGGAGCACUUAUUUUGGUCAUGUGCUAGAUCUGUCAUGUAGGAGUAUUUGGCAAUGGAUAUUUGCUCAUACAGAAUUUUGAUAAUCAACUAGGAAUUACAAUUAGAAUCAAAGCAAUGCUACUUGUACUCCUUUCAUGAAAAAAGGCUACUCGUAGGACCCUUGUAGGAGACCAUCCUCAAGAUCGACGAGAAGAUGAGGUCUGGACCCUUGUAGGAGACCAUCCUCAAGCAGCGCUAGAUGCAACUUGACUGCUUCAAACCCAAUCCGUGCUUGCUCCUCUUAAUCAACUAGAUUAUAUUAAUUAAUAGUAGCUACUGAACUUCUUGGAUUAUGUUACCAAUUUUGAUGAUGGGCGUCCAGCUAUUAUAUUAGUAAUUUGAUUUUGGUAGCACCGUUGAAUUUGGUUGCUGCUAUUCAUUUAUGUAUGUGAAGGAGUUUGAUAAUGUGUUCUUUUUUUGUUUGCAAAAUGAAGGACGCUGCAUCCAGGUAGUGGGAAUAGUUAGUCCUUGCUAUCAAUGGUAGUAGCAUUUUUCACUGUUGAGUGUGAGGGAAUUUGAUGAUCAUCUACUUUUGCCUAUCAUCUACUUCUGAUGUUUUCCAUGAAAGUGACACGUGAUCUUCCUUUGUUUUUCUUUUAGCUGAUAGUAUGAUAACUGCUUGCUUGGCAGAAGUUAUGGUUGUGCUGUUUCUUAGCUAAAUAAAGAAACUGAGAUUUAGUUUGAUUUGGAGCGCCUCUUGUUGUACCACAGUUCCUUCUCUUAGAGUUGUACUUGUACAGUAGGUUUUGGAUUGGGAGGGGAAAAUGCUCUUGCUUCAGUCUCUGUUGAAGUCAAACCCAUCCAUGCAAAAUCUGUACUGCAGUACAAUUAAUGUAGAUGAAUAUAUAUGCCUUGCAUUUUUAUCGUGCAUGCCAUUCAACUAACUUGCUCUUGUCCAUGCAGAUGGAGUAGGAGGACGAGCAGCAGCAGCAAAUCAGCCUGAUGAUGACGGGGUGCGGAAGGCAAUGGUGAUCAUGCUGAUGGCAUGAAGAAGGCUGAUGACCACAACCUGGACCUUUUGGCAUUUAGAGAUGGCAAACACAGGCGGCGUGGAGACAACAACCUGGACCACCCACCUCCCUUUCCUUUUUAAUUUUGGUUGUGGUGGUUGCAUCACCGUCACGGUCGCAAAUCAGUAUGUAGUGUGCUUGUGGAGUUGGGUCUGGACUGCAGUGUCCAUCCAGUAGUUUAGGUGUUGUUGCUGCUAGAUCCCAUGAUGCUCACCUAAGUUUUGUGUUAUGUAGAGGCCAACCUUUGUGAUCUUAUUUGUCGACACUUGUGUGAUCUCGUCUUACUUUGUGAUACAAGUUGUACUAUAUAUAUGUUUUUAUGGAUGAUCUUG
This 3104-nucleotide ribosomal RNA is filed under the name Triticum aestivum (bread wheat). Its description in RNAcentral is "partial small subunit ribosomal RNA". The record is from RNAcentral. Lineage: Eukaryota; Viridiplantae; Streptophyta; Magnoliopsida; Poales; Poaceae.